Myotis davidii is the source of this 75-nucleotide non-coding RNA. NCBI's taxonomy places the organism in Eukaryota, Metazoa, Chordata, Mammalia, Chiroptera, Vespertilionidae. The record is from Rfam.
GGUGGUUCUCCGGUGACACACCCCAGAAUUGGUCUCCCUCCUCUCUGGUUCCAGGUGUGUCACCUGAGAACGGCA